This 45-nucleotide non-coding RNA is filed under the name Schistosoma mattheei. The record is from RNAcentral. Lineage: Eukaryota; Metazoa; Platyhelminthes; Trematoda; Strigeidida; Schistosomatidae.
AUCCAGCUGACUAAUCCUGAAUAGGACGAAACGUGCGUCCUGAAU